CUGCCCUCCCUGUUGUGGCACAAAGGACACUGCUGUGAAGCCAGAUGACCACAGAUCUUGCCUUCCUUCUCAGAUGUGUGACAUCAGGCUGCUAAUGAAUCACCCUGGCAGCCCUACUGGGUUCCAGCUGAUCCAGGAAGGGACCCACGGACAGCUUUGCUCCAGGCAGCACUUCACCCCACCAGUGUCUGUGGAGCUCCUGCUCUGCCUGACGAAUGAGGCCAACUCUUGUUCUGCCUUUGUGGAUCUUGCAAAGUGCUUGGAUUUUCAAGUGACUGUUACGAGCCCAACCACUGCCUUUUGGUGAUCCCAGUCAUCCCCCUGAGUCAGAAACAGUCUGGGCUGGUGGGGAUGGUCAAAGCAGCUAACAGCAAGACAGGCUCUGUCUGUAUAAGUCAAGCAGGAUUAUUUUCAAAAUGAAAGGCGUCAUUCAGUAUUUUGGAAAACUCUCUCGGAGAACCGAGUAUGAAUCAGUCCCAAGUAAAGCUCGGGUGGAAAAGAUGAUCAAGUCUCGGUCACAUUCUCCACUGGACCUCCUACAUUCGAAUCCUGGCUGGGCCUCUUUGGGCAAGUUACUUAAUCACAGCGUUUUCAUUAAUGAAAUGGGAAUGAUCUUGGG
Long non-coding RNA from Fukomys damarensis (Damara mole-rat), 619 nucleotides. RefSeq lists it as uncharacterized. The transcript is spliced from 3 exons. The record is from RefSeq and is a predicted model, not a curated record. Lineage: Eukaryota; Metazoa; Chordata; Mammalia; Rodentia; Bathyergidae.